This 253-nucleotide ribosomal RNA is filed under the name uncultured bacterium. Its description in RNAcentral is "partial 16S ribosomal RNA". It matches the Rfam family "Bacterial small subunit ribosomal RNA", at positions 524 to 776 of the family's 1533-position model. The record is from RNAcentral.
UACGUAGGGUGCGAGCGUUAAUCGGAAUUACUGGGCGUAAAGCGUGCGCAGGCGGUUCGUUGUGUCUGUGGUGAAAGCCCCGGGCUUAACCUGGGAAUGGCCAUGGAAACUGGCGAGCUGGAGUGUGGCAGAGGGGGGUGGAAUUCCGCGUGUAGCAGUGAAAUGCGUAGAGAUGCGGAGGAACACCGAUGGCGAAGGCAGCCCCCUGGGUUGACACUGACGCUCAUGCACGAAAGCGUGGGGAGCAAACAGG